AAUAGAUACCCUGGUAGUCCACGCCGUAAACGAUGAGUGCUAAGUGUUAGGGGGUUUCCGCCCCUUAGUGCUGCAGCUAACGCAUUAAGCACUCCGCCUGGGGAGUACGGUCGCAAGACUGAAACUCAAAGGAAUUGACGGGGGCCCGCACAAGCGGUGGAGCAUGUGGUUUAAUUCGAAGCAACGCGAAGAACCUUACCAGGUCUUGACAUCCCAUUGACCGCUAUGGAGACAUAGCUUUCCCUUCGGGGACAGUGGUGACAGGUGGUGCAUGGUUGUCGUCAGCUCGUGUCGUGAGAUGUUGGGUUAAGUCCCGCAACGAGCGCAACCCUUGUUCUUAGUUGCCAUCAUUUAGUUGGGCACUCUAAGGAGACUGCCGGUGACAAACCGGAGGAAGGUGGGGAUGACGUCAAAUCAUCAUGCCCCUUAUGACCUGGGCUACACACGUGCUACAAUGGACGGUACAAACGGUUGCCAACCGCGAGGGGGAGCUAAUCCGAUAAAACCGUUCUCAGUUCGGAUUGUAGGCUGCAACUCGCCUAC
RNAcentral lists this ribosomal RNA (543 nucleotides) under uncultured bacterium. RNAcentral's name for it is "bacterial SSU rRNA". It matches the Rfam family "Bacterial small subunit ribosomal RNA", at positions 777 to 1319 of the family's 1533-position model. The record is from RNAcentral.